Molecule: ribosomal RNA, 450 nt
Filed under: uncultured Glomus
Lineage: Eukaryota; Fungi; Glomeromycota; Glomeromycetes; Glomerales; Glomeraceae
Also listed under: 1 other name
Description: SSU rRNA
Rfam family: Eukaryotic small subunit ribosomal RNA
Source: RNAcentral
AGCAGCCGCGGUAAUUCCAGCUCCAAUAGCGUAUAUUAAAGUUGUUGCAGUUAAAAAGCUCGUAGUUGAAUUUCGGGAUCAGUAUGUUGGUCGUGCUUCGGUACGUACUGUCAUUACUGGUUUCUACCUUCUGAAGAACCUUGAUGUCAUUAAUUUGGUGUCUUGGGGAAUCAGGACUGUUACUUUGAAAAAAUUAGAGUGUUUAAAGCAAGCAUACGCUUGAAUACAUUAGCAUGGAAUAAUGAAAUAGGACGUUUGAUUCUAUUUUGUUGGUUUCUAGGAUCGACGUAAUGAUUAAUAGGGAUAGUUGGGGGCAUUAGUAUUCAAUUGUCAGAGGUGAAAUUCUUGGAUUUAUUGAAGACUAACUACUGCGAAAGCAUUUGCCAAGGAUGUUUUCAUUAAUCAAGAACGAAAGUUAGGGGAUCGAAGACGAUCAGAUACCGUCGUAGU